GGCUCUAGCUCAGUGGUAGAGUGCUUACCUAGCAUGUGUGGGGCCCUGGGUUCUAUCCCUAGUAACCA
This 68-nucleotide transfer RNA is filed under the name Marmota monax (woodchuck). RNAcentral describes it as "tRNA.Ala". Lineage: Eukaryota; Metazoa; Chordata; Mammalia; Rodentia; Sciuridae. The record is from RNAcentral.